RNAcentral lists this ribosomal RNA (227 nucleotides) under uncultured bacterium. RNAcentral's name for it is "partial 16S ribosomal RNA". It matches the Rfam family "Bacterial small subunit ribosomal RNA", at positions 118 to 343 of the family's 1533-position model. The record is from RNAcentral.
UGAGGAACAUGACCCUCGGCGGGGGAUAGCCGGCCCAACGGCCGGGUAAUACCGCGUACGACCACAUGGGGACAUCCCUGAGUGGUGAAAGCAGCAAUGCGCCGAUGGAGUGCCUCGCGGCCUACCAGCUAGUUGGUGAGGUAACGGCUCACCAAGGCGACGACGGGUAGCUGGUCUGAGAGGAUGGCCAGCCACAUUGGGACUGAGACACGGCCCAGCUCCGUAGG